CAACCUGCCGACAACUCUGGGAUAGCCUUUCGAAAGAAAGAUUAAUACCGGAUGGUAUAAUUAUUCCGCAUGGGAUUAUUAUUAAAGAAUUUCGGUUGUCGAUGGGGAUGCGUUCCAUUAGGCAGUUGGCGGGGUAACGGCCCACCAAACCUACGAUGGAUAGGGGUUCUGAGAGGAAGGUCCCCCACAUUGGAACUGAGACACGGUCCAAACUCCUACGGGAGGCAGCAGUGAGGAAUAUUGGUCAAUGGACGAGAGUCUGAACCAGCCAAGUAGCGUGAAGGAUGACUGCCCUAUGGGUUGUAAACUUCUUUUAUACGGGAAUAAAGUGAGCCACGUGUGGCUUUUUGUAUGUACCGUAUGAAUAAGGAUCGGCUAACUCCGUGCCAGCAGCCGCGGUAAUACGGAGGAUCCGAGCGUUAUCCGGAUUUAUUGGGUUUAAAGGGAGCGUAGGCGGGUUGUUAAGUCAGUUGUGAAAGUUUGCGGCUCAACCGUAAAAUUGCAGUUGAUACUGGCGACCUUGAGUGCAACAGAGGUAGGCGGAAUUCGUGGUGUAGCGGUGAGAUGCUUAGAUAUCACGAAGAACUCCGAUUG
This 594-nucleotide ribosomal RNA is filed under the name uncultured Bacteroidota bacterium. RNAcentral describes it as "bacterial SSU rRNA". It matches the Rfam family "Bacterial small subunit ribosomal RNA", at positions 122 to 715 of the family's 1533-position model. Lineage: Bacteria; Pseudomonadati; Bacteroidota. The record is from RNAcentral.